UACGGAGGGUGCAAGCGUUGCUCGGAAUCACUGGGCGUAAAGGGCGUGUAGGCGGCCAGGUAGGUCUGCUGUGAAAACUCGAGGCUCAACCUCGAGACGUCGGCGGAAACCAUCUGGCUAGAGUCCGGAAGAGGAGAGUGGAAUUCCUGGUGUAGCGGUGAAAUGCGCAGAUAUCAGGAAGAACACCGGUGGCGAAAGCGCUCUGCUGGACCUUAACUGACACUGAGGGACGAAAGCUAGGGGAGCGAAUGGG
RNAcentral lists this ribosomal RNA (253 nucleotides) under uncultured bacterium. Its description in RNAcentral is "partial 16S ribosomal RNA". It matches the Rfam family "Bacterial small subunit ribosomal RNA", at positions 524 to 776 of the family's 1533-position model. The record is from RNAcentral.